RNAcentral lists this ribosomal RNA (253 nucleotides) under uncultured bacterium. RNAcentral's name for it is "partial 16S ribosomal RNA". It matches the Rfam family "Bacterial small subunit ribosomal RNA", at positions 524 to 776 of the family's 1533-position model. The record is from RNAcentral.
UACGAAGGGUGCAAGCGUUAAUCGGAAUUACUGGGCGUAAAGCGCGCGUAGGUGGUUCAGUAAGUUGGAAGUGAAAUCCCCGGGCUCAACCUGGGAACUGCUUUCAAAACUGCUGAGCUAGAGUACGGUAGAGGGUAGUGGAAUUUCCUGUGUAGCGGUGAAAUGCGUAGAUAUAGGAAGGAACACCAGUGGCGAAGGCGACUACCUGGACUGGUACUGACACUGAGGUGCGAAAGCGUGGGGAGCAAACAGG